RNAcentral lists this long non-coding RNA (321 nucleotides) under Anser cygnoides (Swan goose). RNAcentral describes it as "lncRNA (ENSACDG00005010230.1)". Lineage: Eukaryota; Metazoa; Chordata; Aves; Anseriformes; Anatidae. The record is from RNAcentral.
ACGCUCAGGCCAGGACAGCAGUGACCGCUCCAUCAGGACGACGGGACACGGACAGCCUCGCCAGAAACACACAGUGAUGGGACCAGACCAUGGCACAAUCCUGGCCUCACUUCUCUUGACCACUCAGCUGGAAGGAAGAGCUGCCAACGCUCUGCAGGACAGGAUGGGCGUGACUGCUCCAUCAGGAUGACGGGAGAUGGACGGACAUGCCAGACUCAGACAGGGAUGGGACCAGAGCAUGGCACACUCCUGGCCUCUUUCCCAUGGACUAUUCCUCAGCUGGAAGAAGACAUGCCAACACUCUACAGGACAGGUAACAUC